Octopus bimaculoides (California two-spot octopus) is the source of this 102-nucleotide non-coding RNA. NCBI's taxonomy places the organism in Eukaryota, Metazoa, Mollusca, Cephalopoda, Octopoda, Octopodidae. The record is from Rfam.
GAAAAUAUUGGCAGUACAUACUCUAAAAUUAGAAUGAUACAAAGAUGAGCAUGGUCCCAGCGUAAGGAUGAAAUGCAAAUUCAUGAAGCUUUCCAUAUUUUU